UACUAACCAAGUAUAUGACCGAAGACAGCAGGUGCCGCAAGGCAUAACAGCAAGGCCUGCCGAGGAAGUUUACAGGAUAUUUUCCAGUAAAUGAUGAAAGAUUUUUCAAGCCUCUUUGUCUCGGACAAAGGGGCUUUUAAGCAGUUUAA
This is a regulatory RNA element of Lachnospiraceae bacterium A2, 149 nucleotides long. It matches the Rfam family "Ribosomal protein L10 leader". From Rfam's summary of the family: This family is a putative r-protein leader autoregulatory structure found in B. subtilis and other low-GC Gram-positive bacteria. It is located in the 5' untranslated regions of mRNAs encoding ribosomal proteins L10 and L12 (rplJ-rplL). The record is from Rfam. NCBI's taxonomy places the organism in Bacteria, Bacillati, Bacillota, Clostridia, Lachnospirales, Lachnospiraceae.